RNAcentral lists this ribosomal RNA (538 nucleotides) under Carbonea sp. s217. Its description in RNAcentral is "eukaryotic LSU rRNA". The stretch from base 229 to 382 matches the Rfam family "5.8S ribosomal RNA". The record is from RNAcentral. Lineage: Eukaryota; Fungi; Ascomycota; Lecanoromycetes; Lecanorales; Lecanoraceae.
CACAUUGAGGAAGUAAAAGUCGUAACAAGGUUUCCGUAGGUGAACCUGCGGAAGGAUCAUUAAUGGGAGGGGUUUUCGGACCCCGGGGACUCCGGUCCCCCCCCCUUACCCUAUGCCUACCUACCUUCGUUGCCUUGACGGGCCCGAGGAAUACCCUUCUUGCACCCCCGUCAGUGGCCCCUCCAACUUCGUCCAUCAGCGUCGUCCGAGUAGUACUAUAAUCGUAAAAAGUUUCAACAACGGAUCUCUUGGUUCUGGCAUCGAUGAAGAACGCAGCGAAAUGCGAUAAGUAAUGUGAAUUGCAGAAUUCAGUGAAUCAUCGAAUCUUUGAACGCACAUUGCGCCUCUCGGUAUUCCGGGAGGCAUGCCUGUUCGAGCGUCAUUACACCCCUCAAGCGUAGCUUAGUAGUGGGCCUUCGCCCCCGCGGCGAGCCCGAAACGCAGUGGCGGACCGCCGUGACUUUGAGCGUAGUAAGCAUUUCUCCCGCUUUGAAAGCCUACGGUGCGGCCGACCAGAACAGACACCUCAACGAUGACC